GUUCUGCUUCACUUUCCUGGCUUCUCAUGUCGUGGAAAAACUUCAUUUCUACUGAUUCCAUUGUCUAGAAGAGAGAAGGACUUCAGCUUCACUCCAACGACGUGUAAGACUGCUGAAAAAAGGUGGGAGAACAGUGGCCCUUGGAGAUGCACAGUAAUCAUCCCGCUAAAGCAGAACUACACUGUCAUCGUAUUAAAGGGUCUUUGCAGAGGCAUUAUAGGGGGCUGGAAUGGAACUGAUAAAAUUUUGAGACAGCUCGCCAGCAAAUAUGAAAUAUGGCUCUCAG
Molecule: long non-coding RNA, 286 nt
Organism: Brienomyrus brachyistius
Lineage: Eukaryota; Metazoa; Chordata; Actinopteri; Osteoglossiformes; Mormyridae
Exons: 4
Source: RefSeq, a predicted model, not a curated record